This 453-nucleotide long non-coding RNA is filed under the name Lupinus mutabilis. RNAcentral's name for it is "partial ncRNA". Lineage: Eukaryota; Viridiplantae; Streptophyta; Magnoliopsida; Fabales; Fabaceae. The record is from RNAcentral.
UGUCAACUAAACCUGAAUUAUUUAAAAAAGCCUACAGCGAAGCCAAGAUAUUUCCUAAGCCCAAUCUAAGUCACAUCACAACUAAUCAAGCUGUUCAACCACAAUCAUCGAAAGUGUUUGAUAAUUUUGUGAAACCUGAAAAAGUUAUUUCGAACAAACUUAAGUUUAAAGUCAAUAAUUCUACAAUGUCUACCUCUACUAAUGAUGCAAAUAUAAAGUUAUAUCAUCGACCCUCGUGGAUUAUCAUGGAUGAUGAAAGUGAAAAGAUGAAUUCCUCACCACCGCCAACAAUAAGUUUAAAUGAAAGAUUUUCCAAUUUACCAGUGAAAAAGAAACGGGACAAAGAAAAAGGUAAACAUAAAAAGAAGCGAACUCGACGAAUUUCGAUUCCCUCCAAUACUUGGAUUAGUAUUAAGAAUACAAAGGACAACAAGUGUAAACAGAAAAGACGAG